CCGACGCUUUUCUCAAAAGCGUUCAGCAGAGGGAUGUUGCAGCUUUUGUCCUUAUCAUCUGGGACAUGUUAACAUCCUGCUUCUCUCUGUGAUACCAGCAGGAAGAUAGUCAUAAGCUCGGUGUGCGAGUAAGGGUUUUCCACGGCCUUGGCUCACUAGAUGUUGCUGGGUUAUAGUUAUCCUACAUUGGCAGUAUAUAAACCUGGUGUUGCUAGAAGAGAGCUAGACAACUACCUUUAUGCCAUCUCGCCAACUUUACCCAUGACUAUUAUCAGUUUACUUACCUCUGUGGGUAUCCGCAGCAUGCCCCGAAAGGAAGCACUAAUAGCCUAGAUGAGGCAACAUGGGCCGACUCUCUGCUGAACAAAUACCAUGCACUGUGCACAGCUGCACCAAAUGAUCAAGUUUUAAAAUGAGUAUCCUAUACUCAUAUAUAUGUAUUGACCGAGCACGGCAACUUAACAUGUUCUACCUCCUUUUCAGUUGCGACGGUAGCCCUUGUUGUCAAUGCGAAUGGUUCGUAUGACACCGUCUGCAGGUUUUAAACGGCAC
Molecule: small RNA, 552 nt
Filed under: Histoplasma ohiense
Lineage: Eukaryota; Fungi; Ascomycota; Eurotiomycetes; Onygenales; Ajellomycetaceae
Description: hypothetical lncRNA
Source: RNAcentral